ACUCCUACGGGAGGCAGCAGUGGGGAAUAUUGCACAAUGGGAAGGCCAUCGAUGCAGCCAUGCCGCGCUGUGUGAAGAAGGCCAGAUCGGGCUUGGUUAAGAUACUUUCAGCAGUGAGGAAGGUGGAGUCGUUAAUAGCGGCCUCAUUUGACGUUAGCUGCAGAAGAAGCACCGGCUAACUCCGUGCCAGCAGCCGCGGUAAUACGGAGGGUGCGAGCGUUAAUCGGAAUUACUGGGCGUAAAGCGCAUGCAGGUGGUUUGUUAAGUCAGAUGUGAAAGCCC
RNAcentral lists this ribosomal RNA (282 nucleotides) under uncultured bacterium. RNAcentral's name for it is "partial 16S ribosomal RNA". It matches the Rfam family "Bacterial small subunit ribosomal RNA", at positions 335 to 603 of the family's 1533-position model. The record is from RNAcentral.